AUGUGCAUGUAUAUAAAGUGCAUGUAUAUAAGCAUAUGUGGAAAUAUGUCUAUUGUAUAAUGUGCAUGUAUAUAAAGUGCAUGUAUAUAAGCAUAUGUGGAAAUAUGUCUAUUGUGUGACGGACCAUGCAAAAACUAUGUGGUGUGAAUUGUGCAUUAGGAACGUGCAGGUAAAACAGGUGUGUUUCCCACUGGACACUUGUUGCAUAUGGGAAAGAAUAUGCGCAAGUAUGCCAAGAUGCAAACGCAAACGGACGGAGUUCGGGUUGAACCUGCUAAUUGUUGCACUUCACUUUUCGUUUAAGCGGACCAGCGCGGUACCGGCGUUAGACGAGAUGAGGCCCUUGGAUAAGGGACGGACAGCGGGAUGCUGUUCCGUUGUGGGGGUCGGCGGACAGACCGACAGUGAACAAAUAUGGCGUAUCCAACGCCAGGAACAAGCUGGGGCGAACGGUCGCAGGCUGCACAGGACUUGGAAGGAACAGGAGGUGCACCUGAAGAUCCGGCUCGAAGGACAAUGUUGGCGUGGGGCGUUGGGGGUGAAAGUCCAAAAACCGCAAGGGAAGUAAAAUUGCGUCUGCUUUCCUUUUCACUGUGACGUGACUCGCACUGGCGCUUAGCUGCCCAUAUGAAAGAGGGAGAGGCCGCCGACGCUAGCAGCGCUCUGCCAGCAGAUGUUGCUGGCAAGCGUUGCCAUGUCAACACUGGCAGAGUGCUGCCACAUCAACACACAUCAUGUCACAUAAAUUUAAUUAUUUUUUAUAUACUAUAUUUUUAUACUACUAUUUGUGCAACAUUCACAUAUUUAACUUGCAUUUGCUUAUCACAUUAUACUUAUAUAUUGCACAUCAUAUCACAUAAAUUUAAUUAUAUAUAUACUAUAUUAUACUACUAUUGCACAACAUUCACAAAUCUAACUUGUACUGCUUAUCACAUAGUAAUUAUAUAUUGCACAUUGUAUCAUUUAAAUUUAAUUACAUUUAUACUAUACUAUUAUGCAACUAUGUACAACACUCACAAAUUUAACUUACCAUUUGGUGCUGCUUCGGAUUCUCCCCGCAUUCCCUCCACUCUUUUAAAAGGGAAGGAUUAAGACAUUUGUUGAGAAAAAUUAAAAUACAAGGUGUAUUCCAAAGUAAACAGGACUUAAAAAAAACAGAACAAAUGGUUUAUUCGGCAAAA
This is a long non-coding RNA of Scaptodrosophila lebanonensis, 1181 nucleotides long. RefSeq lists it as uncharacterized. The transcript has 3 exons. NCBI's taxonomy places the organism in Eukaryota, Metazoa, Arthropoda, Insecta, Diptera, Drosophilidae. The record is from RefSeq and is a predicted model, not a curated record.